RNAcentral lists this signal recognition particle RNA (300 nucleotides) under Cebus imitator (Panamanian white-faced capuchin). Its description in RNAcentral is "Metazoan signal recognition particle RNA (ENSCCAG00000008951.1)". It matches the Rfam family "Metazoan signal recognition particle RNA". From Rfam's summary of the family: The signal recognition particle (SRP) is a universally conserved ribonucleoprotein. It is involved in the co-translational targeting of proteins to membranes. Lineage: Eukaryota; Metazoa; Chordata; Mammalia; Primates; Cebidae. The record is from RNAcentral.
GUCGGGCACGGUGGUGCGUGCCUGUAGUCCCAGCUACUUGGGAGGCUGAGGUGGCAGGAUUGCUUCAGUUGAGGAGUUCUGGGCUGUAGUGUGCUAUGCUGAUUGGGCGUCCACACUAAGUUUGGCAUCAAUAUGGUGACCUCCCGGGAGCAGGGGACCACCAGGUUGCCUGAGGAGGGGUGAACUGGCCCAUGUUGGAAACAGAGCAGGUCAAAAACUCCCAUGCUGAUGAGAAGUGGGAUUGUGCCUGUGAAUAGCCACUGCACUCCAGCCUGGGCAGCAUAGUAAGGCCCCAUCUCU